RNAcentral lists this ribosomal RNA (253 nucleotides) under Anaerospora hongkongensis. RNAcentral's name for it is "partial 16S ribosomal RNA". It matches the Rfam family "Bacterial small subunit ribosomal RNA", at positions 524 to 776 of the family's 1533-position model. Lineage: Bacteria; Bacillati; Bacillota; Negativicutes; Selenomonadales; Sporomusaceae. RNAcentral also lists the same sequence under 1 other name. The record is from RNAcentral.
UACGUAGGGUGCAAGCGUUAAUCGGAAUUACUGGGCGUAAAGCGUGCGCAGGCGGUUAUAUAAGACAGAUGUGAAAUCCCCGGGCUCAACCUGGGAACUGCAUUUGUGACUGUAUAGCUGGAGUGCGGCAGAGGGGGAUGGAAUUCCGCGUGUAGCAGUGAAAUGCGUAGAUAUGCGGAGGAACACCGAUGGCGAAGGCAAUCCCCUGGGCCUGCACUGACGCUCAUGCACGAAAGCGUGGGGAGCAAACAGG